CCCUUGGGACUGAGACACGGCCCAGACUCCUACGGGGGAGGCAGCAGUGGGGAAUAUUUGCACAAUGGGCGAAAGCUGAUGCAGCAACGCCGCGUGAGGGAUGACGGCCUUCGGGUUGUAAACCUUUCUUUUAGUAGGGAAGAAGCGAAAGUGACGGUACCUGCAGAAUAAAAAGCACCGGCUAAUACGUGCCAGCAGCCGCGGUAAUACGUAGGGUGCAAGCGUUGUCCGGAAUUAUUGGGCGUAAAGAGCUCGUAGGCGGUUUGUCGCGUCUGCUGUGAAAUCCCGAGGCUCAACUCGGGCUUGCAGUGGGUACGGGCAGACUAGAGUGCGGUAGGGGAGAUUGGAAUUCCUGGUGUAGCGGUGGAAUGCGCAGAUAUCAGGAGGAACCCGAAAUGGCGAAGGCAGAUCUCUGGGGCCGUAACUGACGCUGAGGAGCGAAAGCAUGGGGACGAACAGGAUUAGAUACCCUGGUAGUCCAUGCCGUAAACGUUGGGCGCUAGAUGUAGGGACCUUUCCACGGUUUCUGUGUUUCGUAGCCCUAACGCAUUAAGCGCCCCGCCUGGGGAGUACGGCGCAAGGCUAAAACUCAAAGGAAUUGACGGGGGCCCGCACAAGCGGCGGAGCAUGCGGAUUAAUUCGAUGCAACGCGAAGAACCUUACCAAGGCUUGACAUACACCGGAAACGGCCAGAGAUGGUGCCCCCUUGUGGUCGGUGUACAGGUGGUGCAUGGUUGUCGUCAGCUCGUGUCGUGAGAUGUUGGGUAAGUCCCGCAACGAGCGCAACCCUCGUUCUAUGUUGCCAGCGGGUUAUGCCGGGGACUAUAGGAGACUGCCGGGGUCAACUCGGAGGAAGGUGGGGAUGACGUCAAAUCAUCAUGCCCCCCUUAUGUCUUGGGCUUCACGCAUGCUACAAUGGCCGGUACAAAGGGCUGCGAUACCGUAAGGUGGAGCGAAUCCCAAAAAGCCGUCUCAGUUCGGAUUGAGGUCUGCAACUCGACCUCAUGAGUCGGAGUCGCUAGUAAUCGCAGAUCAGCAACGCUGCGGUGAAUACGUUCCCGGGCCUUGGGGGUU
RNAcentral lists this ribosomal RNA (1074 nucleotides) under Curtobacterium sp. RNAcentral's name for it is "bacterial SSU rRNA". It matches the Rfam family "Bacterial small subunit ribosomal RNA", at positions 310 to 1389 of the family's 1533-position model. The record is from RNAcentral. Lineage: Bacteria; Bacillati; Actinomycetota; Actinomycetes; Micrococcales; Microbacteriaceae.